RNAcentral lists this long non-coding RNA (1274 nucleotides) under Panax ginseng (ginseng). Its description in RNAcentral is "long non-coding RNA (PGIN_LNC003550)". Lineage: Eukaryota; Viridiplantae; Streptophyta; Magnoliopsida; Apiales; Araliaceae. The record is from RNAcentral.
CCUGGUGUUGGUUGAUAUUAUUUGCAUACAGGAAAGUUGAUGAGUGGGGAUGGAGAAGAAAUAAGUAUUACAUUGAAAUAAUGGCUCUCUCUCUCUCUCUCUCUCUCUCUCUCUCUCUCUCUCUCUCUCUCCCUCCUUUCCAGGCUUCCAGCCACCAAUAUUAGUGAUAGUAACCCCACAGAGACCAAAUCUUUAGAGCUGUUCUAUUCUUUGGAUUUUUCUCUUUGACUUAACUGUAAUUUGAUACUCAGCUGUCCACUAAAUAGUAUAUUUCUAAUUAGGGUAAAUUUAUACAUACAUUAUCUUUACUCCCUUCUUUCCGAAACGCAGGUAUUUUUGUCGUUUUGCUUCUUCUUCUUUUUUUAAUUCUUUGCCCACCUUCUAAUUUCUUGUCCUGUCUUUUAGUUUCUAUCUCUACCAGUCCUAUAUGCAUCCAGUUACCAUCUGCAUCCAGUCCCCCAUUCGUCUGCAUAUGCACUGAGUUACAGUCCAUCUGCACCUUUUUUUUAUAUGCCCAAUGAUCGUAUAGUUGUUUGUUGCUCGUCUUCCCGAAAAUCUCUUUCCAAUCUGUCACUGACGCCCGGGAUUUUUUGUGCGGAGUGAGGACCGGCGGCUUGUAAAGGAUAUAACAAUUUAGGGCAAUUCAAUGUUACUUCUUCAAAUUUAACUUAUGAAUAUUCUGCUGUAGCAUUAGGAAUGAAUCAUGGUUAACAAUUAAGGCAGAAUAGUGAUGACUUGUUUGGAGUCUCUAAAUUAAUCCUAUUCCCAAAAUACAAAAAUGAAGAAGCCAGAUCUUCAUCUUUUUUCUCAGUUGAACUGGAAGUAUUUUUCCCAGAUAUCAAGAGGACAAAUAAAUGGGAGUAGGAUGUGAAAAUGAUCUUUUUUUGGGAAGUAUUACAACAUAAAUAAGCACAACUCCCUCCAAAAUUGGAGAUAUGAAUGUGAUUAUGAUAAAUCGAACAAGGCUUAUUUGUGAUGAAAGUGGUGGUCAUAGAUUAUAUGAACAUGUACAUGAGAAAAAGGUUGGCUGCAUUUCAUAGAUCUAACCCAAGCAACCAUGAAGAUUAAGAAAACAAGCCUCCUAAUAGAGGAGUAACGAAAGUUGUAUGAUUCUGUGCUCUUCAUUUGUGGACGAAGGGGGACAGCUGGUAGAGAGAGAAAUUAAAAGGCAGGACAAGAAAGGAGAAGGUGAGCAAAGAAUUAAAAAAUAAAAAAAGAGAGAAGCAAAACAACUUAAGUAGCUGUGUUUCGGGAAGGAGGGAGUAAAGAUGAUG